Long non-coding RNA from Mercenaria mercenaria, 1555 nucleotides. RefSeq lists it as uncharacterized. Lineage: Eukaryota; Metazoa; Mollusca; Bivalvia; Venerida; Veneridae. The record is from RefSeq and is a predicted model, not a curated record. The transcript is spliced from 5 exons.
AUGCAGUUAUUGCUCUGAAUAUACGCGGAUAUUUAAAGUGCAUGGCGGAUUUAUUGGUUGUUAUGGACAACCUCCAGCAGUAUGAGAUAUAAAUGUUCACUGCAGUUUUGACAAUGCCCAUCAAGUGGAGUUGCUGUGAGUUCUCAUGCAGUGUAUGAAAAGUACAGUACUGCUGUUGGAAGAGGAGCAGUGUGGUAUCUAUGGUCCACCAUCACUUCAAGCAUUAUGACUAUGGAUAAAAGAAGGUUUCAUAACAUAUGGACAACUAUAUUGGACAAAAUAAGAAGUGUUCUAAUAAGUUGUGGAAUGUGGCUUGUUAUGAUGGGUCUACAUGAUUGACUUGGAGUACAACCUGAUGGGGACUUGGCUUGCAGAAUUCAGUCCUGAACAUGUUUAGAAUGUCAGAAUGACCUAGUAAAAGUAUUCUUGAAGGAUUAUAACUUCAACACAGAGACGGAGAUUAAUAUUUUAGGCAGGGGAUUGGCAUGACAGGCAAAUUCUCCAACUGUAUUACCAUUCCUGAGCUGGAUGCCAGCCGACAGUGGUACCUGUAUAAUGAAAUAGCGCCCCUUUGCAGCAACAGCAAUGUAUGCUCAAAACUAGCAGUGCCAAAGCCUUUAAAAUUGAGAACUUAGCCAUUUAAAACAAAGAAUGAAUGGAAAAAAAGUGUUUAACAUUUAAAGUAAUACAGAGAAAGAGCUUAGCUCAUUUGGUAUUUUCUGAAAUUUUAAUUAAUUUUGAAAAUGUUUUUUGAUUUUUUAAAGGUGUACUAGACCCAAACUCCAUAUAUGAGCCGUGCCAUGAGAAAACCAACAUAGUGGGUUUGCAACCAGCAUGGAUCCAGACCAGCCUGCCCAUCCGUGCAGUCUUGUCAGGAUCCAUGCUGUUCACUUUUAAAGCCUAUUGGAAUUAGAGAAACUGUUAGCGAACAGCAUGGAUCCUGAUCAGACUGCGUGGAUGUGCAGGCUGGUCUGGAUUCAUUCUGGUCACAAACCCCUUAUGUUGGUUUUCUCAUGGCGUGGCUCAUAUAUGAAUAUGAAGAAAUGCUACAUAUAGUUAUGUAAACAUUGAAUUAACAAGUUUAUGAAGUCAACAGUACUAUGCAUUGGUUAAAUAUAGACACACUGUAUGUAUGUAAGGCUGAACACAGUUUAAAUGUUAAAUUCCUCUAAGACACUGGAAGAUUUUUCAACAAUCUACUGUUUAGUACUGCAUGACAUAAAAUUAUGAAUGUAGCUCUACAUACACAGUUGAUUUAUACAUUAUUAAGCAAAGUUAAAUAUAUUUAUUGAUGAUUUUCUACAGUAGUUACCUAAAUAUUAAAUAUUUUAGUGAAGAUAUAUUUUAUGCAACUAUAUAAGUUGAAAAAAGCCAGCACCAGGAAGAAUAUUUUGAAAUGAUACUUUUACUUGAAAAUUUUUGUGAAAAAUGAAGGAAAUAGAUGUUAAAAUGAAUUCUUUAUUUUAUAAAAAAUGUUGUUGCCAUGGAAACAUAAUUUGAGUCUUAAGUUUAUCUGCUUUCAUACCAGAGUAAUAUGACUUUUAAUUAUAAUUAU